RNAcentral lists this ribosomal RNA (468 nucleotides) under uncultured bacterium. Its description in RNAcentral is "partial 16S ribosomal RNA". It matches the Rfam family "Bacterial small subunit ribosomal RNA", at positions 28 to 507 of the family's 1533-position model. The record is from RNAcentral.
GACGAACGAGGGGGGAGGGCGGAACACAAGCAAGUCGAACGGAAAGGCCCUGCUUUUGUGGGGUGCUCGAGUGGCGAACGGGUGAGUAACACGUGAGUAACCUGCCCUUGACUUUGGGAUAACUUCAGGAAACUGGGGCUAAUACCGGAUAGGAGCUCCUGCUGCAUGGUGGGGGUUGGAAAGUUUCGGCGGUUGGGGAUGGACUCGCGGCUUAUCAGCUUGUUGGUGGGGUAGUGGCUUACCAAGGCUUUGAGGGGUCGCCGGCCUGAGAGGGUGACCGGCCACAUUGGGACUGAGAUACGGCCCAGACUCCUACGGGAGGCAGCAGUGGGGAAUAUUGCACAAUGGGCGGAAGCCUGAUGCAGCAACGCCGCGUGCGGGAUGACGGACUUCGGGUUGUAAACCGCUUUCGCCUGUGACGAAGCGUGAGUGACGGUAAUGGGUAAAGAAGCAACGGCUAUCUACGUG